CCGUGUUAAUCGAGGCCCUUUUGCCUUCAGAGGUCGAGGCCGUCGAUUCGACGAUCGGUGAUCGAGCCGUUGAUUCGGCGAUCGACGAUCGAGCCGUGUUGGUCGAGGCCCUUUUGCCUUCAGAGACCGAGGCCGUCGAUUCGACGAUCGACGAUCGAGCCAUGGAUUCGGCGAUCGACGAUCGAGCCACGUUGGUCAGCGAUUGAGCCAUUGAUUCGGUGAUCGAUGAUCGGGCUAUUUUGGUUG
Molecule: long non-coding RNA, 246 nt
Filed under: Elaeis guineensis (African oil palm)
Lineage: Eukaryota; Viridiplantae; Streptophyta; Magnoliopsida; Arecales; Arecaceae
Description: long non-coding RNA (EGUI_LNC036650)
Source: RNAcentral